GAGUUUGAUCCUGGCUCAGGAUGAACGCUAGCGGCAGGCCUAACACAUGCAAGUCGAACGGUAACAGCACUUCGGUGGCUGACGAGUGGCGCACGGGUGAGUAACGCGUAUGCAACCUACCUUUCACAGUGGGAUAGCCCAGAGAAAUUUGGAUUAAUACCGCAUAGUAUGCAAGAUCAGCAUUGGCCUUGUAUUAAACAUUUAUGGGUGAGAGAUGGGCAUGCGUUCUAUUAGUUAGUUGGAGUGGUAACGGCACCCCAAGACAGCGAUAGAUAGGGGCCCUGAGAGGGGGAUCCCCCACACUGGUACUGAGACACGGACCAGACUCCUACGGGAGGCAGCAGUGAGGAAUAUUGGACAAUGGGCGCAAGCCUGAUCCAGCCAUGCCGCGUGCACGAAGACGGCCCUAUGGGUUGUAAACUGCUUUUAUACAGGAAGAAACACCCCGACGUGUCGGGACUUGACGGUACUGUAAGAAUACGGAUCGGCUAACUCCGUGCCAGCAGCCGCGGUAAUACGGAGGAUCCCAGCGUUAUCCGGAAUCAUUGGGUUUAAAGGGUCCGUAGGUGGACAUUUAAGUCAGAGGUGAAAUCCUGCAGCUCAACUGUAGAAUUGCCUUUGAAACUGGUUGUC
Molecule: ribosomal RNA, 633 nt
Filed under: uncultured Gelidibacter sp.
Lineage: Bacteria; Pseudomonadati; Bacteroidota; Flavobacteriia; Flavobacteriales; Flavobacteriaceae
Description: bacterial SSU rRNA
Rfam family: Bacterial small subunit ribosomal RNA
Source: RNAcentral